RNAcentral lists this ribosomal RNA (1216 nucleotides) under metagenome. Its description in RNAcentral is "bacterial LSU rRNA". It matches the Rfam family "Bacterial large subunit ribosomal RNA", at positions 1673 to 2910 of the family's 2925-position model. The record is from RNAcentral.
UGAGUAUACCAAGGCGCUUGAGAGAACUAUGCUGAAGGAACUCGGCAAAUUGCACGCGUAACUUCGGAAGAAGCGUGACCCCUUUGCACGCAAGUGUAUGGGGGUGGCACAGACCAGGGGGUAGCGACUGUUUAUCAAAAACACAGGGCUCUGCGAAGUCGCAAGAUACGUAUAGGGUCUGACGCCUGCCCGGUGCUGGAAGGUUAAAGGGAGGGGUGCAAGCUCUGAACUGAAGCCCCAGUAAACGGCGGCCGUAACAAUAACGGUCCUAAGGUAGCGAAAUUCCUUGUCGGGUAAGUUCCGACCUGCACGAAUGGCGUAACGACUUCCCCGCUGUCUCCAGCAUAGACUCAGUGAAAUUGAAUUCCCCGUGAAGAUGCGGGGUUCCUGCGGUUAGACGGAAAGACCCCGUGCACCUUUACUAUAGCUUUACAUUGGCAUUCGUAGUGGCAUGUGUAGGAUAGGUGGUAGGCUUUGAAGCCGGGGCGCCAGCCUCGGUGGAGCCACCCUUGAAAUACCACCCUUAUCACUAUGGAUGUCUAACCGCGGCCCGUUAUCCGGGUCCGGGACAAUGUAUGGUGGGUAGUUUGACUGGGGCGGUCGCCUCCUAAAGAGUAACGGAGGCGCGCGAUGGUGGGCUCAGAACGGUCGGAAAUCGUUCGCUGAGUGCAAUGGCAUAAGCCUGCCUGACUGCGAGACUGACAAGUCGAGCAGAGACGAAAGUCGGUCAUAGUGAUCCGGUGGUCCCGCGUGGAAGGGCCAUCGCUCAACGGAUAAAAGGUACGCCGGGGAUAACAGGCUGAUGACCCCCAAGAGUCCAUAUCGACGGGGUUGUUUGGCACCUCGAUGUCGACUCAUCGCAUCCUGGGGCUGGAGCAGGUCCCAAGGGUAUGGCUGUUCGCCAUUUAAAGCGGUACGUGAGUUGGGUUCAGAACGUCGUGAGACAGUUCGGUCCCUAUCUGCCGUGGGUGUAGGAAUAUUGAAAGGAUCUGUCCCUAGUACGAGAGGACCGGGAUGGACGGAUCUCUGGUGGACCUGUUGUGGCGCCAGCCGCAUCGCAGGGUAGCUAUAUCCGGACGGGAUAACCGCUGAAGGCAUCUAAGCGGGAAACCCACCUUAAAACGAGUAUUCCCUUGAGAGCCGUGGAAGACGACCACGUUGAUAGGCCGGGUGUGGAAGUGCGGCAACGCAUGAAGCUUACCGGUACUAAUAGCUC